Molecule: ribosomal RNA, 253 nt
Filed under: uncultured bacterium
Lineage: Bacteria
Description: partial 16S ribosomal RNA
Rfam family: Bacterial small subunit ribosomal RNA
Source: RNAcentral
UACGGAGGGUGCAAGCGUUAUCCGGAAUUACUGGGUUUAAAGGGUACGUAGGCGGCUUGAUAAGUCAGUGGUGAAAUGCUUCAGCUUAACUGAGGACUUGCCAUUGAUACUGUUUAGCUUGAAAGGAUUGGAGGCUGGCGGAAUGCGUCAUGUAGCGGUGAAAUGCAUAGAUAUGACGUAGAACACCGAUUGCGAAGGCAGCCAGCCACGCUCACUUUGACGCUGAGGUACGAAAGCGUGGGUAGCGAACAGG